GACGAACGCUGGCGGCGUUGCUAACUACAUGCAGUCAGUACGCUUUUUCUUUCACCGAGACUUUGUCUCACCGAAAGAAAAAGACUUGGCGAACGGGUGAGUAACCCGGUCGGUAAACUGGCCUCAAGCGGGGGAUAACACUUGGAAACAGUGUGGCUAAUACCGCAUAAUAAUCUGAAAAGCCAUUUUUUAGAUUUUGAAACGUCGCAAUUGCGAACACUUGAGUGAUGUGACCCGCGUGUGCAUUACCUAGAUUGGUGAGUGUAACGGCUCACCAAUGCCACGAUGCAUAGCCGAACCUGAGAGUGGUGAUCGGCAACACUGGGACUGAGACACGUGCCCGACUCCUACGGGAGGCCAGCAGUAGGGAAUCUUCGGCAAUGGACGAAAGUCUGACCGAGCAACUGCCGCCGUGAGUGAAGAAGUGUUUUCGGAUCGUAAAACUCUGUUGUAUCAGAGAAGAACAAGUGGUGAGAGUGGAAAGUUCACCCCUUGACGGUAAUCUAACCAGAAAGCCACGGCUAACUACGUGCCAGCGGCGCGGUAAUACGUAGGUGGCAAGCGUUGUCCGGAUUUAUUGGGCGUAA
This 587-nucleotide ribosomal RNA is filed under the name uncultured bacterium. Its description in RNAcentral is "bacterial SSU rRNA". It matches the Rfam family "Bacterial small subunit ribosomal RNA", at positions 28 to 563 of the family's 1533-position model. The record is from RNAcentral.